Molecule: long non-coding RNA, 188 nt
Organism: Neotoma lepida (desert woodrat)
Lineage: Eukaryota; Metazoa; Chordata; Mammalia; Rodentia; Cricetidae
Rfam family: Pvt1 oncogene conserved region 2
Source: Rfam
UAAGGUAGCUGCCUUGUAGGACAUGAAGCUAACUAUUUAGGUGGAAUAAAAUUGUCAUCAGGAGUCCUGGACUCUCUGUGGGUUGAGCCUGUGUUUGGAGCCCCAAGCUUGUCUCUGGUCCAAGAGGGCGUCCAGCUAGCUGUUGGGGGCAGGNAACAGCUAGGAAUUGGGGGUGAGAACUCCUUACG